This 1483-nucleotide ribosomal RNA is filed under the name metagenome. RNAcentral's name for it is "bacterial SSU rRNA". It matches the Rfam family "Bacterial small subunit ribosomal RNA". The record is from RNAcentral.
AGAGUUUGAUCCUGGCUCAGGAUGAACGCUAGCGGCAGGCUUAAUACAUGCAAGUCGAACGGCAGCGGGUCCAGCAAUGGAUGCCGGCGAGUGGCGCACGGGUGCGUAACGCGUAUGCAACCUACCUUUAACCGGGACACAACUCCGCGAAAGCGGGGCUAAUAUCCCAUAACAUUAUGAAGUGGCAUCAUUUUAUAAUUAAAGUUUUAACGGUUUUAGAUGGGCAUGCGUGACAUUAGCUUGUUGGUGAGGUAACGGCUCACCAAGGCUACGAUGUCUAGGGGUCCUGAGAGGGUUAUCCCCCACACUGGUACUGAGACACGGACCAGACUCCUACGGGAGGCAGCAGUAAGGAAUAUUGGGCAAUGGACGCAAGUCUGACCCAGCCAUGCCGCGUGCAGGAAUGACAGCCCUACGGGUUGUAAACUGCUUUUAUACGGGAAUAAACCCCUCGACGUGUCGAGGGCUGAAGGUACCGUAAGAAUAAGGAUCGGCUAACUCCGUGCCAGCAGCCGCGGUAAUACGGAGGAUCCAAGCGUUAUCCGGAUUUAUUGGGUUUAAAGGGUGCGUAGGCGGAUGAGUAAGUCAGUGGUGAAAUCCCCCAGCUUAACUGGGGAACUGCCUUUGAUACUGCUUAUCUUGAGUCCAGUUGAAGUGGGCGGAAUGUGUCAUGUAGCGGUGAAAUGCUUAGAGAUGACACAGAACACCGAUUGCGAAGGCAGCUCACUAAACUGCAACUGACGCUGAGGCACGAAAGCGUGGGGAUCAAACAGGAUUAGAUACCCUGGUAGUCCACGCCGUAAACGAUGAUCACUCGUUGUUGGCGAUACACAGUCAGCGACUGAGCGAAAGCAUUAAGUGAUCCACCUGGGGAGUACGGUCGCAAGAUUGAAACUCAAAGGAAUUGACGGGGGCCCGCACAAGCGGAGGAGCAUGUGGUUUAAUUCGAUGAUACGCGAGGAACCUUACCUAGGCUUAAAUGUGAGACGACAGUCCCUGAAAGGGGACCUUCCUUCGGGACGUCUUACAAGGUGCUGCAUGGUUGUCGUCAGCUCGUGCCGUGAGGUGUUGGGUUAAGUCCCGUAACGAGCGCAACCCCUAUUCUUAGUUGCCAUCAGGUAAUGCUGGGGACUCUAAGGAAACUGCCUGUGCAAACAGUGAGGAAGGCGGGGAUGACGUCAAAUCAGCACGGCCCUUACGUCUAGGGCUACACACGUGCUACAAUGGCCGGUACAGAGGGCAGCUACUAUGUGAAUAGAUGCAAAUCUCAAAAACCGGUCUCAGUUCGGAUCGAAGUCUGCAACUCGACUUCGUGAAGUUGGAUUCGCUAGUAAUCGCGCAUCAGCCAUGGCGCGGUGAAUACGUUCCCGGGCCUUGUACACACCGCCCGUCAAGCCAUGGGAGUUGGGGGGACCUAAAGUUCGUAACCGCAAGGAGCGACCUAGGGUAAAACCAAUGACUGGGGCUAAGUCGAAACAAGGUA